RNAcentral lists this ribosomal RNA (253 nucleotides) under uncultured bacterium. RNAcentral's name for it is "partial 16S ribosomal RNA". It matches the Rfam family "Bacterial small subunit ribosomal RNA", at positions 524 to 776 of the family's 1533-position model. The record is from RNAcentral.
UACGAAGGGGGCUAGCGUUGUUCGGAAUUACUGGGCGUAAAGGGCGCGUAGGCGGUGUGUCAAGUCAGGCGUGAAAGCCCCGGGCUCAACCUGGGAACAGCGCUUGAGACUGGCACGCUCGAGUUCGGGAGAGGAUGGUGGAAUUCCCAGUGUAGAGGUGAAAUUCGUAGAUAUUGGGAAGAACACCGAUGGCGAAGGCAGCCAUCUGGACCGACACUGACGCUGAGGCGCGAAAGCCAGGGGAGCGAACGGG